This 72-nucleotide transfer RNA is filed under the name Ovis aries (sheep). It matches the Rfam family "tRNA". From Rfam's summary of the family: Transfer RNA (tRNA) molecules are approximately 80 nucleotides in length. Their secondary structure includes four short double-helical elements and three loops (D, anti-codon, and T loops). Lineage: Eukaryota; Metazoa; Chordata; Mammalia; Artiodactyla; Bovidae. The record is from Rfam by way of RNAcentral.
UCCCUGGUAGCUCAGUUGGUAAAGAAUCCACCUGCAAUGUGGGAGAUCCCGGUUCGAUUCCUGGGUGGGGAA